Sturnus vulgaris (Common starling) is the source of this 2314-nucleotide non-coding RNA. NCBI's taxonomy places the organism in Eukaryota, Metazoa, Chordata, Aves, Passeriformes, Sturnidae. The record is from RefSeq and is a predicted model, not a curated record.
GACUCUGAACAGUUAUUUUCUUCUACAGAAAACCUUUCAUUUAUUUAUUUGAGGAAGGGGAACAAUCCAGCCUAGAGCCUUGAUGGGGACAGGAAAGGGAAAACCACUGAGAUCUGCAGUUUUCAAGCAGGACUAAGUGCCAGGCAUGGUGAGGGGAAUCACAACUCUGGGUUCUGCCUGCUGAGGACUUGGCUUUGGUGAGACAAAAGCUCAGCCCCAGACAGGCUGCAGAACUGUAUGACAGGGAAAAUGAACUGGGGGGAGAAAGGGACACAGAGGAAAAUGUGGGAAACAAGGGGAGGUGGGAGUGAGAAAAUGUUAUUGGAGAAUAAAAGUCAGUGUUGGGUAUAAAGCACUUGCUGCUCUCAGCCUUGCUGGAGAUGGGCGGGGGGUGCUGGUUUAGCCCUAAAACUGAGCCCAGACUCAGUCUCAGAUCCAGUUUGGUGCAUUGAGGAUAUAAAGUCUGGGGAAGGAGCAGUUUGUGAAAACUGAGCUGCAUUCAAAAAUCCAACUUCUAAGUGGCUCAUUUGACCUAUAGACCCUGACUCCAGGGGUUUUCCUUUGCACAGAACUCCAGACACCAUGGAGCUCCUCACUGUCCUGCCCACAAACCUUCACACCAGGGAAUGACUGCUCAGAGGCCUUCUGGGUGUCCCACAGAAUCCCCAGCACCCACAGCAUCCCUCUGCUCUGCCAGGGAUCAAACCUGAGCACAGGGUUUUAAAUCUGUCUGAGAGGUUUCAGAUCUGUCUUGGCAAUGGGAAAUCUCAGUGAGGAGCACGGUGAGGAUCUGCACUGGGCAGUGAGCCUGGACCUACUGGUGUAGCUCCACAGCUCUGCAAAGGGAUGGACAUCAAGGAGAAGAGCCCCAAGGAGGGGAGGGUGGCCUCAGCCAUCCUCCAUGAGCACCCAAAGUUUCCCUCCCCACACCUGCAGGCCCCACACACCAAAGGAGUUGUGUCCUGAAGUCUCUUGCAGUUUCUUUCUGCUGCUCUCCAAGUCCCCACCGUGGGACCUGUGACUUCCCCACACUCAGAGGUUCCAAAGUGCCUGCCACCAUUUCACAGCUGCCACUCACGAGUCUUUCCUGGGAUUUCAGAUGACCUUGACAGAGCUGCUUCAGUGUUAAUUUGAUUUUUUUACCUCUGCAAGAAGCUUCUCAAUAGUCUGAGCAUGAGGCCCAGGAGUCAUUAGGGAGAAACUUCUCCGUGGGGUUCAGGAGCAGCAUUGUGAACAUCUGGGCUGGAAAUGCCACACGCUCCUUUCUGCAAAGAUCAAAAGUGUGAAGAGGCCAAUAAUUCCUUCACAGCAGACUGUAAUGACGUGCAAAGGCUUGGCUGAGGCUCAGAAAUCUCCACGAUUAGGACAAGUGCACGUUAUUUAAAAUAAACUGCACAUUCCUCCGCUUCCGCUCAGAUAGGCAAAACAACCCCGUGGCUGUGAGGAUCAGAGGGGCUCCUUUGAAGAUAUUCCACCCAUUAACAUUUGCAGCGUUUAUAGAGGUCAUCUGUGAAAGAGAGACCUUCUAAUAGAGGUCAGGUGGGCUGGAAAUUCCUGAGAGCCUGGAGAGGAGAGAGACACGGGCACCUUGUGAGCUGCUGCUGCCGCCAUUGGGUGCUGUAAGAUAAUGAGGAUUUAUUUUGUUUUUAAAUGAGCUUUUUCCAGAGACAGAGAACCAUGAAAUGCCCAUGCCAGAGCUGUGAAACUGCACCCUUUCCAUCCCUGAGGGGAUGGGUGUCCUCUCUGCUCAGCCCAGAGCCUGCUCUGGAUUUUCUGCACUUGCACAUCUUCUGCUGGAGACCCCACAAGCUCAGCAGGUUUUGGGCAUUGACUCUGGAUCCCCUGGAGAGUUUGAUGCUGCUCCUGUCACAUAAAAACACAACAGAAUGCCUAUCACAGAGAAGAAAGAUCCUUUCCAGCCCUGUCCUGUAGGCUUGGAAACCUCCAAAAAGACAUUUUUCACCCCUUAACCCUCCCACUGCACCAUGAGGACACAAGAGCUUCACCAAGGUGAUAACACUGAGAUCAGACUGAGGAUUUUCCUCUCCCUUUAAAUGUGACAUGGCUUUCCAAAUUAGAGCUGUUAAACCACAGAUCCCAAUGCAUCAAAAACUGUUAAAUCAUGCAAUGUGGGAUGAGUAAGAUACCUUUCAGGCCAUCCUCUCAGUCCCCCCACUGCAUUCUUUGUGCUAGAGCAGAAAGUCUGUUUUGCUCUUCUCAGGUAUUUACUAAAUAAAUUCAUUUAGGAAUUCACUUUGUUGUAUCCAAGGGUUUGGUAGGCAUAAGAGGCAAGAAAAUAAAAUUAUCCUUCUCA